CACAUUCCUCGGGGAGGAAUCUACAGUAUCCAUGAGGUCACAAGUCUUUCACAAAUAAGGGCCAGAAGUUCUGACUCUUGACAUCUCACACGGCCACCUCGUGGACAACCCUCCUCGCCCAGGUCCAUCACUGCUUCAUGCUCUGGGAUGGGCAGAAUAGGGAAUCUAAGGGUCUCGGGCUCUGAGUGCUCUCAGCCCUCUGUUUCUGAGGGGACUAUCAGCCAACAUCCUCAGAUCAUGGACCUGGCCCUUACCAAAAGGACAGCAAGGGUCACCCUUGGAGAGCUCAGGUGGGAUAGGCAGAACCUUACCUUUCAGUGGCCCGCCUUUCCUCCUCCUCUUGGCUCUGCCCUGACCCUAGAACAAAAAUAAAAGAAUGAAGGGUUGGGACUCCUCUCGCUCUCACUCUUCCAUCAGAAAUGGAGACACUAUCAUCCAAGAAUAGUAGGGAUAAUUUUAAUUAAUAGAACUGUGUGUUCCUUGCAAAGGUGAUAAAAAGUUUUCUAUUUACCCUGGAUAAUUGAAAGGACGACUUUGUGAGGCCCACAGCUGAUAUUCUCAGUCAGAAGUCCUUCGAUCAAGGAGGACAUAGAACCUGAAGCCUGAACUCACAUCUGUGUUCCCUCAGGGCAGGACCCUGUGUCCUAUGACAUAGCUCUGACUUCAGUCUGUUCGCAGACACUCAACACUGUGCUCCAGAUCGCCCAACACAAAGGAAGACUUGGUCGACUAAUGCCUGAUAUGGGAAUGUGACUCAUGGUCAGGAGCUACAGAGCUUUCUUCUGUCAUAUGGAUUCCCAUACUCUCUAAAUAACACAAUGUAGGAUGAGAGAAUCCCUGAGUGUGGGAUUUUAUUGAAGACUCGCCACCACAUCAGAUAGCCUGGAACCAAGAAAUAGACCCUGAAGUCUUGUACGUGUUCCACAGCAACAUGAGUGGUAUUUUACCCAAGACCUGCCAAUGCUUCAGUUAGCUUGAGUGAUCGUCCAUUCUUUCUUUACACUUCCCAAUCGAGUUGUGUCAUUGGCCGUACCAAACCCUCUGGGAAAUUGAGAUUAGCAAUGGAAACCCUAAGAGUCUGGGUUGAAGGCUCCCCAGGAUUCCUUACCUUGUGGAUGGGUUUGGUUCUCCAACAAAGAAAUGGAAUCCCAACCAGAUACUUCAGGAGCAGAAGGAGCACUUCUCGCACACAGACGAACGUGAAAUGAUCAAUCUGUAAGAAUGUGGAGCCAAAGCUUAGACAUCUGUCUUCUCUACAUUAGUUCCCUAAUAGUUAUACA
Long non-coding RNA from Canis lupus familiaris (dog), 1280 nucleotides. RefSeq lists it as uncharacterized. The transcript is spliced from 3 exons. NCBI's taxonomy places the organism in Eukaryota, Metazoa, Chordata, Mammalia, Carnivora, Canidae. The record is from RefSeq and is a predicted model, not a curated record.